RNAcentral lists this long non-coding RNA (1318 nucleotides) under Dromaius novaehollandiae (emu). RNAcentral's name for it is "lncRNA (ENSDNVG00000013254.1)". Lineage: Eukaryota; Metazoa; Chordata; Aves; Casuariiformes; Dromaiidae. The record is from RNAcentral.
UCAGUAGUGCCUGAGGUGACAACAUCCUAUUACUAUGGCAGUGUUUCUGGACACCAAAUGACCAUAAAUGAUGCAGUCAUUUUGUCCAAAUGAGUCUGGGGCAGUAUUGCAACAGAUGUUUUCCUUACCUUAAAUAGCCUGUUGUAUCUUCUAGGUUGGAGCACAAAUUUUGCAUAUGCUUCAUUGCACAAGUUUAGAUGAUUUUUAGAUGUGCUUUCGGAAGCAGUGAGCUAUGGUUUGGAUGAAGCUAUUGACAGCUCAUAAGGGUGACGCACAAGUCUGAGUUGCUCCUGCAGAUUCCCUUCAGUACACUUGAAAUCAUUUCUUUUUAAAUCAAAUAUGGCCUUUCCUCUGUCCUUCAGGUACUCGAGAAACAUGGAUUAUCUUUAAUUCGCCUUUUGGAAAGAGACUACCUUCAACUCCCUCAUGUUUCCAGCGGGGUGAAGGAGUCCACACCAGAAGCAGGAGGUUGUUGCUCCGUUUCUUUCUGAAUUCCUUCCCCAGAGACGCUGCUUCCCUGUGUGGUGUACGUUUCACCUCGUGGUGGACGUCCAAGUGCUGUUCUGCAAGACAUACCCAGCCCUCGCAGAGCCAGCCCCAAAGGUAUCUGGGAGCCGUUCCUCUCUUGGAACGGAUUGCGACAUUGCAUCAUCUUCUCCUUGCAACCCCCACAUUUCCAACUGUUUCAGCCAAAAGAAGCAGGGCUCAAAGCCUUUCCAGGUYUAGCUUGAUAUUCCUUCUUGAAACUACCACUUUCUGUUUCUUGUUUUGGGUCUUUUUUCAUUAUUAUUAUUUGUCUGGUUUAUAUCGUCCUUUCAUUCUAACGGUUUGAUUUUUGUGGCUGUUUCUGUGUUUGUUCGCUGCUGCAGUAGAUAUCAACAACAUGAUUAAAUUCCAGCUCUGACUGUUGCAACAUAAGUGCUCUGCCUUCAUUAUCUGCGGUGCCUAAAACUAUUUGAUCUCUAAUAAGUUYGCCUGCAAGUGUGCCUCAUUUGCAUGAUGAGGCUAACUGGUGCAGCCUGGUUGCAUAUUGGUCUGUGAUUUCAGUUUCUCUUCGAUCAGAUGUAUCAAGCAGAAGGAACUAUUAGAAUUGCCAGCAACUGUAUAUAUAUUUUUUAAUCAUGCCAGAAUACUGAGAAUCCCAGACAGCCUUACUAGGCUAGAGAAAGCCACUGAUAAAAGGCAUGGGAGAACUCCUCAUGCCUGCUGGCACAUAAACCAGGGCUGUGCUGGGGGUAGUUGGUCUGCUUUGGUGGAACAAGCUGUUAAAAUCGCAUCCAGCUCUGAGCUGGCUGUUGGACAGCCUCCUUUGAUGAGU